This 69-nucleotide transfer RNA is filed under the name Fulvia mutica. RNAcentral describes it as "tRNA-Asn". It matches the Rfam family "tRNA". Rfam says of the family: Transfer RNA (tRNA) molecules are approximately 80 nucleotides in length. Their secondary structure includes four short double-helical elements and three loops (D, anti-codon, and T loops). Lineage: Eukaryota; Metazoa; Mollusca; Bivalvia; Cardiida; Cardiidae. The record is from RNAcentral.
GAAGGGUUAGCUUAAGUUCUAAAGCGAUUGACUGUUAAUUAAUAAAUGGGAGGGUAGCCCCACCCUUCG